GGCUUAGUGGCUUAAUGGUUAGCACGUUUGUCUUGCACCUCUGGGGUUGGGGGUUCAAAUCCCACCCCCGCCU
This is a non-coding RNA of Ameiurus melas (black bullhead), 73 nucleotides long. NCBI's taxonomy places the organism in Eukaryota, Metazoa, Chordata, Actinopteri, Siluriformes, Ictaluridae. The record is from the annotation of a GenBank genome assembly.